RNAcentral lists this ribosomal RNA (545 nucleotides) under Aureobasidium proteae. Its description in RNAcentral is "partial 26S ribosomal RNA". Lineage: Eukaryota; Fungi; Ascomycota; Dothideomycetes; Dothideales; Saccotheciaceae. The record is from RNAcentral.
ACAACCAUUACGCCAGCAUCCUAGCCGAAGCGCGGACCUCAGUCCCGGCUGGCCGUAUUACACCCUGGGCUAUAACACCUCCACCGAAGUGGAGGCCACAUUCCCAGAGCCUUUAUCCGGCCGCCGAAACUGAUGCUGGCCUGUCCAAACUGAGUAAACCGGUCAGAAGACCGGCCGAACAGUUUAAACAAGUCUGAUUGCAAGCGCUUCCCUUUCAACAAUUUCACGUGCUUUUUAACUCUCUUUCCAAAGUGCUUUUCAUCUUUCGAUCACUCUACUUGUGCGCUAUCGGUCUCUCGCCAAUAUUUAGCUUUAGAAGAAAUUUACCUCCCAUUUAGAGCUGCAUUCCCAAACAACUCGACUCGUCGAAGGAGAUUUACAUAGGGUGCCAUUUCCUGUCACAUACGGGAUUCUCACCCUCUAUGACGUCCUGUUCCAAGGAACUUAGACAGGCGGCUUCCCCAAAUCAUCCUCUACAAAUUACAAUGCGAACCCGAAGGCUAGCUUUCAAAUUUGAGCUGUUGCCGCUUCACUCGCCGUUACUA